RNAcentral lists this ribosomal RNA (624 nucleotides) under uncultured archaeon. RNAcentral's name for it is "bacterial SSU rRNA". It matches the Rfam family "Archaeal small subunit ribosomal RNA", at positions 339 to 999 of the family's 1478-position model. The record is from RNAcentral.
GCGCGAAAACUUCACACUGCAGGAAACUGCGAUGAGGGAACUCCAAGUGACUGGUUUUGGAAUAAGGGCUGGGAAAGACCGGUGCCAGCCGCCGCGGUAAUACCGGCAGCUCGAGUGGUCGUCGCUUUUAUUGGGCCUAAAACGUCCGUAGCCUGUUUGGUAAAUCUGUGGGUAAAUCAACCAGCUUAACUGGUUGAAUUCUGCAGAGACUGCCAGACUAGGGACCGGGAGAGGUGUGGGGUACUCUAGGGGUAGGGGUAAAAUCCUGUCAUCCUUAGAGGACCACCAGUUGCGAAGGCGCCACACUAGAACGGAUCCGACGGUCAGGGACGAAGCCUAGGGGCACGAACCGGAUUAGAUACCCGGGUAGUCCUAGGUGUAAACGCUGUGAACUUGGUGUCGGGAGUCCGCAAUGGGCCCCCGGUGCCGGAGUGAAGAUGUUAAGUUCACUGCCUGGGGAGUACGGUCGCAAGGCUGAAACAUAAAGGAAUUGGCGGGGGAGCACGCAACGGGAGGAGCGUGCGGUUUAAUUGGAUUCAACGCCGGAAAACUCACCAGGGCCGACUGUUAUAUGAAGACCAGCGUAAUGAGCUUGUCGGAUUUUCAGAGAAGUGGUGCAUGGCC